CUAACGUUGGCCCGUUAUCCGGGUUGCGGACAGUGUCUGGUGGGUAGUUUGACUGGGGCGGUCUCCUCCUAAAGAGUAACGGAGGAGCACGAAGGUUGGCUAAUCCUGGUCGGACAUCAGGAGGUUAGUGCAAUGGCAUAAGCCAGCUUGACUGCGAGCGUGACGGCGCGAGCAGGUGCGAAAGCAGGUCAUAGUGAUCCGGUGGUUCUGAAUGGAAGGGCCAUCGCUCAACGGAUAAAAGGUACUCCGGGGAUAACAGGCUGAUACCGCCCAAGAGUUCAUAUCGACGGCGGUGUUUGGCACCUCGAUGUCGGCUCAUCACAUCCUGGGGCUGAAGUAGGUCCCAAGGGUAUGGCUGUUCGCCAUUUAAAGUGGUACGCGAGCUGGGUUUAGAACGUCGUGAGACAGUUCGGUCCCUAUCUGCCGUGGGCGCUGGAGAACUGAGGGGGGCUGCUCCUAGUACGAGAGGACCGGAGUGGACGCAUCACUGGUGUUCGGGUUGUCAUGCCAAUGGCACUGCCCGGUAGCUAAAUGCGGAAGAGAUAAGUGCUGAAAGCAUCUAAGCACGAAACUUGCCCCG
This 580-nucleotide ribosomal RNA is filed under the name Escherichia coli. RNAcentral describes it as "partial 23S ribosomal RNA". It matches the Rfam family "Bacterial large subunit ribosomal RNA", at positions 2222 to 2801 of the family's 2925-position model. Lineage: Bacteria; Pseudomonadati; Pseudomonadota; Gammaproteobacteria; Enterobacterales; Enterobacteriaceae. The record is from RNAcentral.